UAAAAGGCCCUUUUCAGGGCCGCCCACGAAAUCACAUAAAGGGCUG
This is a non-coding RNA of Loxodonta africana (African savanna elephant), 46 nucleotides long. The record is from Rfam. Lineage: Eukaryota; Metazoa; Chordata; Mammalia; Proboscidea; Elephantidae.